AGUGAGAGCAAAAAGCGGGCAGGUGCGCAUCUUUCAGCAGCGCUACUUGAAGCGGUGCGGUUCCUCAGCUAAGUAGGUUAAAGGUCCUCCCAAGAGGAGAAAGUAUGUGACAGACCUCUUGAAAACCGUAUUCUUCUACAGGGGUUUGCAUUCAUUCACAAUUAAUGUCGCUUGAUGGACGAAAUGAUGCUAAUAGGGCGCAAAAGAACAGAAUGUGGGCUUUAAAAAGGAUGCCAACCUAUAAUCUGACAGCUGGGAGAAAAAAUGAAGGGCAGAAGAAUUUUCUAUACUCUAACGCUAAAGUUUUUAGUAAUGUGGUUGAUGAGUUUGAGAGAAGUUGAGGCUAUAAGCAGGACAUCAGGACAGCUUGAUGUGGUUCCUUUUGUCUGGAAGGAUGUCAGCUCUCUGUGCCUGACCAUCUCUGAGGAUGCUUCACGUCAUCUUGUCUACCUGAUCAUUGCACUACCUGCUCUCCACUACAAUACUGCCGUCUCGCUGCUCUCCCACUUGAAAUGCUUGGCUGGCCCUUUCUUAUGAAGCCAUCAUAAAAAAGUGGAUGCCACGGCGAUCUGCAUUGUUCCUCCUCUCUCCUCUCUACAGACAGAAGUGUAGAAGCCAUAAAAAUAUUCCUUCAUGCUGAAGAAGACUGCUGUUGUUCUAUCAAUAGAAUAAAAGUAAACUGUUCUUUAAUACAAAAAAACUCAGUUCACACAGUCUUUAUUUAGGAAAUUGAUCUAUUUAUUCACAUUUAAAUGCAUAAAUGUGGAUGAAUUAUGUACAUCUAAAUAAAAACACUGUGAUAUGUAUGUUAUUAGUCUUUAAUAAAAGCCUUUCAGCAUUU
Long non-coding RNA from Oryzias melastigma (Indian medaka), 841 nucleotides. RefSeq lists it as uncharacterized. NCBI's taxonomy places the organism in Eukaryota, Metazoa, Chordata, Actinopteri, Beloniformes, Adrianichthyidae. The transcript has 2 exons. The record is from RefSeq and is a predicted model, not a curated record.